RNAcentral lists this ribosomal RNA (253 nucleotides) under uncultured bacterium. Its description in RNAcentral is "partial 16S ribosomal RNA". It matches the Rfam family "Bacterial small subunit ribosomal RNA", at positions 524 to 776 of the family's 1533-position model. The record is from RNAcentral.
UACGUAGGGUGCAAGCGUUGUCCGGAAUUACUGGGCGUAAAGCGUGCGUAGGUGGUUCGUUAAGUCUGAUGUGAAAGCCCUGGGCUCAACCUGGGAAUGGCAUUGGAAACUGGCGACCUAGAGUGCGGUAGAGGGUAGUGGAAUUCCCGGUGUAGCAGUGAAAUGCGUAGAGAUCGGGAGGAACAUCCGUGGCGAAGGCGACUACCUGGACCAGCACUGACACUGAGGCACGAAAGCGUGGGGAGCAAACAGG